UUUCCCUUUUGCUUUUCUUUUGGGGUUCUUGCCUUUUUCUUUUGUGGUAUCCACUUGUGUAAAUAUUUUAAAUUGACGAUCGAAUUAGUUCAUUGUAUUCAUAUAGGUUUAAAGAGUGUAGCUGUAAAAAAUCAUCAAAAUCAGAGUUAAAAUAAUCGUUAAAUCGUGAUCUUUCGUUUAUAGCCGUCCAAAAGGUUUGUCCUGUUACAUAAUCUCUGAAUGUUUGAUGGUUAGAUCGUUUAAACUAAUUUCGUAUAAUGUGUUUCUCAUCAAGUUCAAUGGUUAUAUAUAUUCACACCUACGUCGUGCAAAGUUUUUUUUUUCUUUUUUUUUUGCCCUUUUGCUUUUCUUUUGGGGUUCUUGCAUUGCCUUUUUCUUUUGUGGUAUCCACUUGUGUAAAUGUUUUAAAUUGACGAUCGAAUUAGUUCAUUGUAUUCAUAUAGGUUUAAAGAGUGUAGCUGUAAAAAAUCAUCAAAAUCAAAGUUAAAAUAACCGUUAAAUCGUGAUUUUUCAUUUAUAACUAUCCAAAAGGUUUGUCUCGUUACAUAAUCUCUGAAUGUUUGAUGGUUAGAUCGUUGAAACUAAUUUCGUAUAAUGUGUUUCUUAUCAAGUUCAAUGGUAUAUAUAUAAGUAUAUUUUAAUUUAUUUAUUUUGUACUCAUAAGCAAAAGAGAGAAAAAAAAAAAAAAAAAACAACUUUGCACGACGUAGGUGAACCUGCGUCGCGCAAAGUUGUUUUGCGCAACGCAUCACCUACGUCGUGCAAAGUUUAUUUAUUUAUUUAUUGCCCUUUUGCUUUUCUUUUGAGGUUCUUACAUUGCCUUUUUCUUUUGUUGUAUCCACUUGUGUAAAUGUUUUAAAUUGACGAUCGAAUUAAUUCAUUGUAUUCAUAUAAGAGUGUAGCUAUAAAAAAUCAUCAAAAUUAAAGUUAAAAUAACCAUUAAAUCGUGUUUUUUCGUUUAUAGUCGUCCAAAAGGUUUGUCUCAUUACAUAAUCUCUGAAUGUUUGACAGUUAGAUCGUUGAACUAAUUUCGUAUAAUGUGUUUCCCAUCAAGUUCAAUGGUAUAUAUAUUUACUAAGUAGAUUUUAAUUUAUUUAUUUUGUACUCAUAAGUCAUAAGCAAAAGAGCAAAAAAAAAAAAACAACUUUGCACGACGUAGGUGAACCUGCGUCGCGCAAAGUUGUUUUGCGCGACGCAACACCUACGUCGUGCAAAGUGUUUUUUCUUUUUUUUUCUCUUUUUUUGCCCUUUUGCUUUUCUUUUGGGGUUCUUGCAUUGCCUUUUUCUUUUGUGGCAUCCACUUAUGUAAAUGUUUUAAAUUAACAAUUGAAUUAGUUCAUUGUAUUUAUAUAGGUUUAAAGAGUGUGGCUGUAAAAAAUCAUCAAAAUCAGAGUUAAAAUAACCGUUAAAUCGUGAUUUUUCGUUUAUAGUUAUCCAAAGGGUUUGUCCCAUUACAUAAUCUCUGAAUGUUUGACGGUUAGAUCAUUGAACUAAUUUCGUAUAAUGUGUUUUCCAUCAAGUUCAAUGGUAUAUAUAUUUACUAAGUAGAUUUUAAUUUAUUUAUUUUGUACUCAUAAGCAAAAGAGCAAAAAAAAAAAAAAAAAAAAAAAAAAACUUUGCGCGACGCAGUUGCACGUACGUUGCGCAAAGCUGAUUUUUUUUUCCUUUUGCUUUUCUUUUGGGAUUCUUGCAUUGCCUUUUUCUUUUGUGGUAUCCACUUGUGUAAAUGUUUUAAAUUGACGAUCGAAUUAGUUCAUUGUAUUCAUAUAAAUUUAAAGAGUGUAGCUAUAAAAAAUCAUCAAAAUCGGAGUUAAAAUAACCAUUAAAUCAUGAUUUUUUUGUUUAUAGUCGUCGAAAAUGUUUGUCUUGUUACUUGAUUUCUGAAUGUUUGUUUUUUGCGAUUUUUAACGUAUGUGAUCUCAAAGCAUAUAUAAACAAACAAGUUUGACGGUUGGAUCGUUGAAACUAGUUUCAUACAAUGCAUAUCCCAUCAAAACAAUAGAUUCACUAACACUUGAAGUUUAUUUAUACUUUUAUUAAGUAUAACAUAAGAUUUUGUGGUAUCCACUUGUGUAAAUAUUUUAAAUUGACAAUCGGAGUUAAAAGAACCGUUAAAUCGUGACUUUUCGUUUAUAGUCAUCCAAAAGGUUUGUCUCGUUACUUGAUAUCUGAAUGUUUGUUUUUUGCGAUUUUUGGUGUAUGCGAUCUCAAAGUAUAUACAAGCAAGUUUGACGGUUGGAUCGUUGAAAUUAGUUUCGUACAAUGCAUAUCUCAUCAAAACGAUAGAUUCCCUAACACUUAGAGUUUAUUUAUACUUUCAUCAAGUAUAACAUAAGAUUUGUGUGGUAUCCACUUGUGUAAAUAUUUUAAAUUGACGAUCGAAUCUGUUCGUUGUAUUCAUAUAAGUUCAAGGAGUAUAGCUGUAAAAAAAUCAUCAAAAUCGGAGUUAAAAGAACCGUUAAAUCGUGAUUUUUCGUUUAUAACCGUCGAAAAGUUUUGUCCCGUUACUUGAUCUCUGCAUAUUUGUUUUUUUUCAAUUUUUGGUGUAUGCGAUCUCAAAGCAUAUACAAACAAGUUUGACGGUUGGAUCUUUGAAACUAGUUUCGUACAAUGUGUAUCCCAUAAAAACGAUAGAUUCCUUAACACUUAGAGUUUAUUUAUACUAUCAUUAAGUUUAACAUAACAUUUUGUAGUAUCCACUUGUGUAAAUAUUUUCAAUUGACGAUCAAAUCAAUUCGUUGUAUUCAUAUAGGCUCAAGGAGUGUAGCUGUAAAAAAUCAUCAAAAUCGGAGUUAAAAUAACCGUUAAAUCGUGAUUUUUCGUUUAUAACCGUCGAAAAGUUUUGUCCCGUUACUUGAUCUCUGCGUGGUU
RNAcentral lists this long non-coding RNA (2871 nucleotides) under Malus domestica (apple). RNAcentral describes it as "long non-coding RNA (MDOM_LNC001661)". The record is from RNAcentral. Lineage: Eukaryota; Viridiplantae; Streptophyta; Magnoliopsida; Rosales; Rosaceae.